GUGGGGAAUUUUGGACAAUGGGCGCAAGCCUGAUCCAGCAAUGCCGCGUGCAGGAAGAAGGCCUUCGGGUUGUAAACUGCUUUUGUACGGAACGAAACGGUCCUGGCUAAUACCUGGGGCUAAUGACGGUACCGUAAGAAUAAGCACCGGCUAACUACGUGCCAGCAGCCGCGGUAAUACGUAGGGUGCGAGCGUUAAUCGGAAUUACUGGGCGUAAAGCGUGCGCAGGCGGUGCUGUAAGACAGGCGUGAAAUCCCCGGGCUCAACCUGGGGAUUGCGCUUGUGACUGCAGUGCUGGAGUGCGGGAGAGGGGGAUGGAAUUCCGCGUGUAGCAGUGAAAUGCGUAGAUAUCGAGAGGAAUACCAAAGGCGUAGGCAGGUCACUGGACAGUUACUGACACUGAGGCACGAAGGCCAGGGGAGCGAACGGGAUUAGAAACCCGAGUAGUCC
Molecule: ribosomal RNA, 450 nt
Filed under: uncultured bacterium
Lineage: Bacteria
Description: partial 16S ribosomal RNA
Rfam family: Bacterial small subunit ribosomal RNA
Source: RNAcentral